CAGUGGCUCAGCUGGAUAGAGCGUCGGACUACGAAUCCGAAGGUCGGGGGUUCAAAUCCCUCCUGGUG
RNAcentral lists this transfer RNA (68 nucleotides) under Desulfobulbus oralis. It matches the Rfam family "tRNA", at positions 5 to 66 of the family's 71-position model. Rfam says of the family: Transfer RNA (tRNA) molecules are approximately 80 nucleotides in length. Their secondary structure includes four short double-helical elements and three loops (D, anti-codon, and T loops). Lineage: Bacteria; Pseudomonadati; Thermodesulfobacteriota; Desulfobulbia; Desulfobulbales; Desulfobulbaceae. The record is from RNAcentral.